Molecule: ribosomal RNA, 440 nt
Filed under: uncultured bacterium
Lineage: Bacteria
Description: partial 16S ribosomal RNA
Rfam family: Bacterial small subunit ribosomal RNA
Source: RNAcentral
CCUACGCGUGGCAGCAGUGGGGGAUAUUGCACAAUGGGCGAAAGUCUGAUGCAGCGACGCCGCGUGAGGGAAGACGGUCUUCGGAUUGUAAACCUCUGUUUUUGGGGAAGAAUAGAGACGGUACCCACAGAGGACGCUCUGGCUAACUAUGUGCCAGCAGCCGCGGUAAUACGUAGGGCGCGAGCGUUGUCCGGAAUUACUGGGUGUAAAGGGAGCGUAGGCGGGCUUGUAAGUGGAAUGUCUAAGCCACCGGCUCAACCGGUGAUCGCGUUAAAAACUGCAGGUCUUGAGUGAAGAAGAGGCAGGCGGAAUUCCUAGUGUAGCGGUGAAAUGCGUAGAUAUUAGGAGGAACACCAGUGGCGAAGGCGACCUGCUGGGCUUUAACUGACGCUGAGGCUCGAAAGCGUGGGGAGCAAACAGGAUUAGAUACCCCUGUAGUC